UGGGGAAUAUUGCACAAUGGGCGAAAGCCUGAUGCAGCAACGCCGCGUGAGUGAUGAAGGCCUUCGGGUUGUAAAGCUCUGUCUUCUGGGACGAUAAUGACGGUACCAGAGGAGGAAGCCACGGCUAACUACGUGCCAGCAGCCGCGGUAAUACGUAGGUGGCAAGCGUUGUCCGGAUUUACUGGGCGUAAAGGAUGCGUAGGCGGAUAUUUAAGUGAGAUGUGAAAUUCCCGGGCUUAACUUGGGAGCUGCAUUUCAAACUGGGUAUCUAGAGUGUGGGAGAGGAAAGUGGAAUUCCUAGUGUAGCGGUGAAAUGCGUAGAGAUUAGGAAGAACCCCAGUGGCGAGGGCGACUUUCUGGACCAUAACUGACGCUGAGGCAUGAAAGCGUGGGGAGCAAACA
This 402-nucleotide ribosomal RNA is filed under the name uncultured bacterium. RNAcentral describes it as "bacterial SSU rRNA". It matches the Rfam family "Bacterial small subunit ribosomal RNA", at positions 355 to 774 of the family's 1533-position model. The record is from RNAcentral.